This 325-nucleotide ribosomal RNA is filed under the name uncultured eukaryote. RNAcentral describes it as "partial 18S ribosomal RNA". It matches the Rfam family "Eukaryotic small subunit ribosomal RNA", at positions 1470 to 1796 of the family's 1831-position model. The record is from RNAcentral.
CCCUUAGAUGUUCUGGGCCGCACGCGCGCUACACUGAUGCAUUCAACGAGCCUAUCCUUGACCGACAGGUCCGGGUAAUCUUUGAAUCUGCAUCGUGACGGGGAUAGAUUAUUGCAAUUAUUAAUCUUCAACGAGGAAUGCCUAGUAGGCGCAAGUCAUCAGCUUGCGUCGAUUACGUCCCUGCCCUUUGUACACACCGCCCGUCGCUCCUACCGAUUGGGUGUGCUGGUGAAAUGUUCGGAUCGGCCGUUUGUCGCGAUUUCCGCGUCAUGUGGCUGAGAAGUUCAUUAAACCCUCCCACCUACAGGAAGGAGAAGUCGGAACA